GAUGAACACUAGCGGCAGGCUUAACACAUGCAAGUCGAGCGGCAGCGCGGGGGCAACCCUGGCGGCGAGCGGCGAACGGGUGAGUAACAUAUCGGAACGUACCCAGUCGUGGGGGAUAACUAUCCGAAAGGAUAGCUAAUACCGCAUACGUCCUGAGGGAGAAAGCGGGGGAUCGCAAGACCUCGCGCGAUUGGAGCGGCCGAUAUCGGAUUAGCUAGUUGGUGGGGUAAAGGCUCACCAAGGCGACGAUCCGUAGCGGGUCUGAGAGGACGACCCGCCACACUGGAACUGAGACACGGUCCAGACUCCUACGGGAGGCAGCAGUGGGGAAUUUUGGACAAUGGGGGCAACCCUGAUCCAGCCAUUCCGCGUGAGUGAAGAAGGCCUCGGUUGUAAGACUCUUCGUCCGGGACGAAGUACGCACAGG
RNAcentral lists this ribosomal RNA (427 nucleotides) under uncultured bacterium. RNAcentral describes it as "bacterial SSU rRNA". It matches the Rfam family "Bacterial small subunit ribosomal RNA", at positions 28 to 460 of the family's 1533-position model. The record is from RNAcentral.